RNAcentral lists this ribosomal RNA (427 nucleotides) under uncultured Lysobacteraceae bacterium. RNAcentral describes it as "bacterial SSU rRNA". It matches the Rfam family "Bacterial small subunit ribosomal RNA", at positions 355 to 774 of the family's 1533-position model. The record is from RNAcentral. Lineage: Bacteria; Pseudomonadati; Pseudomonadota; Gammaproteobacteria; Lysobacterales; Lysobacteraceae.
UGGGGAAUAUUGGACAAUGGGCGCAAGCCUGAUCCAGCCAUGCCGCGUGUGUGAAGAAGGCCUUCGGGUUGUAAAGCACUUUUGUUGGGGAAGAAAAGAUUCGGGUUAAUAACCUGGGUUCAUGACGGUACCCAAAGAAUAAGCACCGGCUAACUUCGUGCCAGCAGCCGCGGUAAUACGAAGGGUGCAAGCGUUACUCGGAAUUACUGGGCGUAAAGCGUGCGUAGGUGGUUCGUUAAGUCUGCCGUGAAAGCCCCGGGCUCAACCUGGGAAUUGCGGUGGAUACUGGCGGACUAGAGUGCGGUAGAGGGUGGUGGAAUUCCCGGUGUAGCAGUGAAAUGCGUAGAGAUCGGGAGGAACAUCUGUGGCGAAGGCGGCCACCUGGACCAGCACUGACACUGAGGCACGAAAGCGUGGGGAGCAAACA